This 497-nucleotide ribosomal RNA is filed under the name uncultured bacterium. RNAcentral describes it as "partial 16S ribosomal RNA". It matches the Rfam family "Bacterial small subunit ribosomal RNA", at positions 28 to 507 of the family's 1533-position model. The record is from RNAcentral.
GAUGAACGCUGGCGGCGUGCCUAAUACAUGCAAGUCGAGCGAACAGACGAGGAGCUUGCUCCUCUGACGUUGGCGGCGGACGGGUGAGUAACACGUGGAUAACCUACCUAUAAGACUGGGAUAACUUCGGGAAACCGGAGCUAAUACCGGAUAACAUGUUGAACCGCAUGGUUCAACAGUGAAAGACGGUCUUGCUGUCACUUAUAGAUGGAUCCGCGCCGCAUUAGCUAGUUGGUAAGGUAACGGCUUACCAAGGCAACGAUGCGUAGCCGACCUGAGAGGGUGAUCGGCCACACUGGAACUGAGACACGGUCCAGACUCCUACGGGAGGCAGCAGUAGGGAAUCUUCCGCAAUGGGCGAAAGCCUGACGGAGCAACGCCGCGUGAGUGAAGAAGGUCUUCGGAUCGUAAAACUCUGUUAUUAGGGAAGAACAAAUGUGUAAGUAACUAUGCACGUCUUGACGGUACCUAAUCAGAAAGCCACGGCUAACUACGUG